This 74-nucleotide transfer RNA is filed under the name Stegodyphus mimosarum. It matches the Rfam family "tRNA". Rfam says of the family: Transfer RNA (tRNA) molecules are approximately 80 nucleotides in length. The record is from Rfam by way of RNAcentral. Lineage: Eukaryota; Metazoa; Arthropoda; Arachnida; Araneae; Eresidae.
GCCUUCGUGGUGUAAUUUGGAAGCACGUCCGGCUGACAAUCAGAAGGUACGGAGUUAGAAUCCCGAUGAAAGCA